AAGACUAAUUGCUCUUUCAUUUGUUCAAAUAAUAAAUUCUGAUUCCUUCACACCUUGUUUUAGGAUGAAAAGAAAAAGGUUGGGCUGUGGUGAAUCUUAAGGAGUGCACAUUAGUAUGAAAGGAUCCCAGAAGAAAUUCAAUAAAUUCAUGUGUUCUUUCUUCCCUUGAAGACAUUACAUUCAGCAGAAUUUCAUGUUACCCAUAGUUACUGGAAAAUUUAAAAACAUAGGGCUUCCCAUUGAAAACAUGACCACUAUGGAGAUGGCAUCACCAUCCACUCAUGUAAGUGCAUAUGAUAUGAGAGCCCUCUCUUCUAUUCUGUUCUAUUCACUGACUCAUACAGCAACUUCAUCUCCAACUCACUAAGAAGGAUAUGCGUCUUCUUUUUCUCCUUUCUGCUACUACUGCAUCGGGUGAAUUAAGCAAGUUAUGUCACAG
This 439-nucleotide long non-coding RNA is filed under the name Coturnix japonica (Japanese quail). RNAcentral's name for it is "lncRNA (ENSCJPG00005017568.1)". The record is from RNAcentral. Lineage: Eukaryota; Metazoa; Chordata; Aves; Galliformes; Phasianidae.